Tachysurus fulvidraco (yellow catfish) is the source of this 727-nucleotide long non-coding RNA. RefSeq lists it as uncharacterized. The record is from RefSeq and is a predicted model, not a curated record. Lineage: Eukaryota; Metazoa; Chordata; Actinopteri; Siluriformes; Bagridae. The transcript is spliced from 3 exons.
UUAAUUAAGAUUAUAUUCAUUUUAAUUAAGAAAUCUAGCAUAGAAUAGUAUUGAGACAGCAAAUAAUGGACUCUAAAUCCAGAAUGCAGCGCAGCUAAAUGAUGCAAUGGCACUAAGUUACUAGAGAGACUCGACUUGGCUAAUUAUUGUUCCAAUGAACAUGACAGUGUUCAUGACAAUAUCAGAAUAAAAGCUGAGAUAGAUUGAGAUGAGAUAGUUACUGUAUAGACAGAGCUGGACAGAAGUGCUGGAAUAGAAUUGUAGGUUAGACUGUUAAAAAAAAAAAACAAAGAGCAGCAUUUCAGGGUGUGUUAGAGGCCUGCUGUUGCUUAUCUCCCUGCUGUCUGUAGCACAGUGGCAGUAGCAUCUAUCAAGCUGGCGCCAACUGUCCCAACACACUGAUCUGCAUGCAGCUUACAGCCACAGACAACCUAAGCUCAGACAGGCAGAGACUGAACAAGGAUCAGUAGCAAGACAGAAGUGAUAAGGCAGUCUCAGGCUGUCCAACACAGAUAGAACUAUGAAGAUGUUAUAUAAAAAGAUGCUCUUUGAAAACUGAAAUAAAUGAAGAAAAUAGUGCUGUUGUAUUUAACAUCACACACGUGCUCAGAACCGAAAGUACAUUUCUGUGCUCCCCUGAUCAGAAUAAAGCAGCUAAGCAGCAAAGUACCAUGCCAAACUACUCUGGGACCUCACUCUCAUGACAACAGCAUCAAUCGUCAUCAUG